GAUAGAGUAGAGUCUUAUCUCGAGAAUGUAUAGGAACGGACAACACGCAUGAUAGCAAGGACCCUUAAUAACUAACCAACCCGACCAAAUCACGCACAUCCGCAGCCACCCAGUUUCAUUAACCCACGAGAAGAAACGGAUCUGGACCCUUCCUCGCACCACACGAGAGCCCAACUACCUACAGCAGACGAUAAACCCAUGGCAGACCCACCCUCAUUGCCCACCACUGGGAAGUUUCGUUCGCUUUCGUUUCGUCUCAGAUUAUAGCGCAACGAUGUUUCCGCGGCUAGAAUUACUGCCGUUUUUAUCUUUUUUCACGAAAAUUGGUGACGCUGUUAACUUGAGGACAUUUCCCCAAUGUUGAUAUAAAUAGAGCAGUUUUAUGCCAUUAAC
Molecule: long non-coding RNA, 393 nt
Organism: Penaeus monodon (black tiger shrimp)
Lineage: Eukaryota; Metazoa; Arthropoda; Malacostraca; Decapoda; Penaeidae
Exons: 2
Source: RefSeq, a predicted model, not a curated record